Long non-coding RNA from Equus caballus (horse), 1091 nucleotides. The record is from Ensembl. NCBI's taxonomy places the organism in Eukaryota, Metazoa, Chordata, Mammalia, Perissodactyla, Equidae.
CAAAUCCCUCAGGACAAUAAUUUAGGAAAAGGAGUUCUGAUUUACAGAAAAUAUCUGGCAGACUUCAUGUACCAGGGAUUGAGCAGCUCUCCUCUCCUCAAAGAUAAUAGCACGGGAGUUAGCUGUGGUCAAAACAGGGGCUUACCAAAGGUCAAGAGAAGAGAGCUGUCUCUAGGUGCAAGCAAGAAGGGAAGACUAGCCUGGAGCUAACUACUGCCAACCCUCCUCUUUCUGCUGAGGAAGACUGGCCCUGAGAUAACAUCCAUGUCCAUCUUCCUCCACUUUAUAUAUGGGACGCCUACCACAGCAUGGUGUGCCAAGCAGUGCCAUGUCCGCACCUGGGAUCUGAACCGGCGAACCCCGGGCCACCUAGAAGUAGAACGUGUGAACUUAACCACUGCGCCACCGGGCCCACCCCUGAUUCUUUAUUUUAAACCUGUGAGAUAUGAAGAAGUGGAUUAAGUAUUAUAAUUUUAUAAAAUGGAACAUUGAAUCUUAGAAAAGUAAGCGAUUUUCUUUGGAUCAGCAAAAUGGAAUUAGAAAAAAUAUUUUAAUUCUCUCACAUAGUAUGGUACAACUGAUGCAUUAGAGGGUUUACUUUUAAUAUUAAGCAACAUUUUACUUAGUUCCUCUUUUCCAAAACCAUUUAUACAACCUGCAAUUGUUAGUGUUUUUCUUGUUACAGUCUUGUGACUCGUGGAGGAUGUACACGAGUGCCGCAAUAAAAAUGAGUUGUUUUGUAACAUGGUAACUGCUGAGAUUAUAAUAUUCCUAAAAGAAUAUCAACAAUGAUUUAAGAAAGGAUGGGGGAAAGGACAACAGAACAUAAUGUUUUUAAAAGAACAUACCCAAGGCCACGUCCCACGUACAAAAUGACUAACCAUCUUUUCUUCUGAGUAAUUGCUGCCUUUUUACAAAUGAUAUACCAAGUCUCUCUUCAUUUUCCACCUUAUAAACAUAAAUAAGAUACUGAAUUGACCAUAGUUCUUGAUAGCAGCCAAUCCAAAAUUAGCCAUUAUCCCUCCUUAGAAUAAUCUAGUACAAGUCCAAACCCUGUAAGAGACAUUCUAACAUCCAAUUCCUAUGAAGUG